ACUCGCUGUGAAGAUGCAGUGUACCCGCGGCAAGACGGAAAGACCCCGUGAACCUUUACUAUAGCUUGACACUGAACAUUGAGCCUUGAUGUGUAGGAUAGGUGGGAGGCUUUGAAGCGUGGACGCCAGUCUGCGUGGAGCCGGCCUUGAAAUACCACCCUUUAAUGUUUGAUGUUCUAACGUGGACCCGUGAUCCGGGUUGCGGACAGUGUCUGGUGGGUAGUUUGACUGGGGCGGUCUCCUCCUAAAGAGUAACGGAGGAGCACGAAGGUUGGCUAAUCCUGGUCGGACAUCAGGAGGUUAGUGCAAUGGCAUAAGCCAGCUUGACUGCGAGCGUGACGGCGCGAGCAGGUGCGAAAGCAGGUCAUAGUGAUCCGGUGGUUCUGAAUGGAAGGGCCAUCGCUCAACGGAUAAAAGGUACUCCGGGGAUAACAGGCUGAUACCGCCCAAGAGUUCAUAUCGACGGCGGUGUUUGGCACCUCGAUGUCGGCUCAUCACAUCCUGGGGCUGAAGUAGGUCCCAAGGGUAUGGCUGUUCGCCAUUUAAAGUGGUACGCGAGCUGGGUUUAGAACGUCGUGAGACAGUUCGGUCCCUAUCUGCCGUGGGCGCUGGAGAACUGAGGGGGGCUGCUCCUAGUACGAGAGGACCGGAGUGGACGCAUCACUGGUGUUCGGGUUGUCAUGCCAAUGGCACUGCCCGGUAGCUAAAUGCGGAAGAGAUAAGUGCUGAAAGCAUCUAAGCACGAAACUUGCCCCGAGAUGAGUUCUCCCUGAGACUUUAAGUCUCCUGAAGGAACGUUGAAGACGACGACGUUGAUAGGCCGGGUGUGUAAGCGCAGCGAUGCGUUGAGCUAACCGGUACUAAUGAACCGUGAGGCUUAACCUUACAACGCCGAAG
This 897-nucleotide ribosomal RNA is filed under the name Salmonella enterica. Its description in RNAcentral is "partial 23S ribosomal RNA". It matches the Rfam family "Bacterial large subunit ribosomal RNA", at positions 2045 to 2925 of the family's 2925-position model. Lineage: Bacteria; Pseudomonadati; Pseudomonadota; Gammaproteobacteria; Enterobacterales; Enterobacteriaceae. The record is from RNAcentral.